UACGUAGGAGACAAGCGUUGUCCGGAAUUACUGGGUGUAAAGAGCGUGUAGGCGGCCAGACAGGUCCGUUGUGAAAACUCGAGGCUCAACCUCGAGAUGUCGAUGGAAACCGUCUGGCUAGAGUCCGGAAGAGGAGUGUGGAAUUCCUAGUGUAGAGGUGAAAUUCGUAGAUAUUAGGAAGAACACCGGUGGCGAAGGCGGCCCACUGGUCCGGUACUGACGCUGAGGUGCGAAAGCGUGGGGAGCAAACAGG
This 253-nucleotide ribosomal RNA is filed under the name uncultured bacterium. RNAcentral describes it as "partial 16S ribosomal RNA". It matches the Rfam family "Bacterial small subunit ribosomal RNA", at positions 524 to 776 of the family's 1533-position model. The record is from RNAcentral.